RNAcentral lists this transfer RNA (68 nucleotides) under Rhodococcus rhodochrous. RNAcentral describes it as "tRNA-Asn". The record is from RNAcentral. Lineage: Bacteria; Bacillati; Actinomycetota; Actinomycetes; Mycobacteriales; Nocardiaceae.
CGGUGCGCAGUUCGGGGAGUUCUUCGACUGUUAAUCGAGUGGUUGCGGGUUCGAGUCCCGUCCGACCA